This 301-nucleotide ribosomal RNA is filed under the name uncultured bacterium. RNAcentral's name for it is "partial 16S ribosomal RNA". It matches the Rfam family "Bacterial small subunit ribosomal RNA", at positions 509 to 809 of the family's 1533-position model. The record is from RNAcentral.
CAGUCGCCACGGGAAUACGGAGGGUGCAAGCGUUAUCCGGAUUUAUUGGGUUUAAAGGGUCCGUAGGCGGACUUAUAAGUCAGUGGUGAAAGCCUGUCGCUUAACGAUAGAACUGCCAUUGAUACUGUAAGUCUUGAGUAUAUUUGAGGUAGCUGGAAUAAGUAGUGUAGCGGUGAAAUGCAUAGAUAUUACUUAGAACACCAAUUGCGAAGGCAGGUUACCAAGAUAUAACUGACGCUGAGGGACGAAAGCGUGGGUAGCGAACAGGAUUAGAUACCCGCGUAGUCCCUGUCUCUUAUAA